CAGUGUGACAAAGACGAUGGGGAAAUUCAACUAUCAUAGGGAG
Molecule: non-coding RNA, 43 nt
Filed under: Cylindrotheca closterium
Lineage: Eukaryota; Bacillariophyta; Bacillariophyceae; Bacillariales; Bacillariaceae
Source: RNAcentral